Molecule: long non-coding RNA, 1014 nt
Filed under: Oncorhynchus kisutch (coho salmon)
Lineage: Eukaryota; Metazoa; Chordata; Actinopteri; Salmoniformes; Salmonidae
Description: lncRNA (ENSOKIG00005035408.1)
Source: RNAcentral
CAAAAUUAAGGCAACUUUAUAAUGAUACUAAGACUGAUUUGUUGUAGAUUAGCAAUAUUUUGUGUUCGUUAGCUAGCUUGCUGGCAGGGCUGCAAACAAGCUCACUUGGCUAGCUAGUCUUGUGAGCUACCUAGCUAGUUAGCUAGGCAGUCUUGUUAGCUACUGUAGCUAGCUAGUUUUCUAGGCAGUCUGGUUAGCUAGCUAGCUAGUUAUCUAUGCUAGUUGUUAUCUUGCGUAACUGAUAUGCUUAUAAUUAUACGGGACACUUCAUGUUUUGUGGAUAAUAUUUACAUUUACAGAGCUCCAUUCCUGACAGGCGGAUCAGAUUAGCGUUCAGCCUCAGAGCUUGAUCAGAUACGAUAUCAGCCUCAAGAGGCUGAUAAGUCAAGAUGCUGCCUUGUACAGUAGGCUGUUUCAUGAGAAAAGCUCCUUGCAGGCAUAUUAACAGUCAAAGUGCCUUAUAGGCUGAUGCAUAUGAUCCAGUGGGAUCUAUUCCCACAAGGCUGAUCAGAUUCAAUAGCAGCCUCAGAAGCUGAUAAGUCAGCAUGCUGCCUCGUUGGCUGUUUUAAUGAGAGCAUGUUUUGUCUAUCUAUAUGAAUGGGGCCAAGACAGAUACCUGACCUUAAUUGUAGUCAUUCUUCAAUCAAUGAUUGGAUGUAUUACUUUGUUUCACUGAUGUUUCUGUCUUUAUCGUAUAACUGUGAUGGUUGACUGUGACAUUAAAGAAAAGAAGGCAAUCGAAUCAGUCUUCCCACAGUCUGCAGUGUUGCUUUGCUGGUUCCAUGAAGCCUAUUACAAGACACGACAGACCAACACUAACGUCGGCCAUUGAAACAGCAGUGGCACAGCCUCACAGACCACAGAAUAUCGGCAGUCAUUUUCUGUUCAUUUUCCUAAUGAUUCUACGUGUUGAUUGGCCACAGUUCGUCCACACCCAACAGGUGAUCUUCUGUUAGGGCUGUUUUACAUGAUGUCCCUCAGUGAUGACUUCAUAGAUGUAUAGUCUGACCAGUU